RNAcentral lists this small RNA (149 nucleotides) under uncultured Superficieibacter sp. RNAcentral describes it as "Glm Y RNA activator of glmS mRNA". It matches the Rfam family "Glm Y RNA activator of glmS mRNA". From Rfam's summary of the family: This family consists of a number of bacterial RNA genes of around 167 bases in length. The record is from RNAcentral. Lineage: Bacteria; Pseudomonadati; Pseudomonadota; Gammaproteobacteria; Enterobacterales; Enterobacteriaceae.
AGUGGCUCAUUCACCUUCUUAUGUCAGCCCCUCCGGGACGCGCUACAUAAACCUCGAAUGACGCACAACAAGGUGCCUGCCGUCCAGCUUCUGAUAAUAGCCUUGCGCUUUAUCAACCAUCGGGCGAAACGUCGAGUUAGGCACCGCCU